CAGCCGCCGCGGUAAUACGAAGGGGGCUAGCGUUGUUCGGAAUUACUGGGCGUAAAGCGCACGUAGGCGGAUAUUUAAGUCAGGGGUGAAAUCCCGCAGCUCAACUGCGGAACUGCCUUUGAUACUGGGUAUCUUGAGUAUGGAAGAGGUUAGUGGAAUUGCGAGUGUAGAGGUGAAAUUCGUAGAUAUUCGCAGGAACACCAGUGGCGAAGGCGGCUAACUGGUCCAUAACUGACGCUGAGGUGCGAAAGCGUGGGGAGCAAACAGGAUUAGAGACCCCGGUAGUCCCUGUCUCUUAUAC
RNAcentral lists this ribosomal RNA (301 nucleotides) under uncultured bacterium. RNAcentral's name for it is "partial 16S ribosomal RNA". It matches the Rfam family "Bacterial small subunit ribosomal RNA", at positions 509 to 807 of the family's 1533-position model. The record is from RNAcentral.